RNAcentral lists this ribosomal RNA (478 nucleotides) under uncultured bacterium. Its description in RNAcentral is "partial 16S ribosomal RNA". It matches the Rfam family "Bacterial small subunit ribosomal RNA", at positions 28 to 523 of the family's 1533-position model. The record is from RNAcentral.
GACGAACGCUGGCGGCGUGCUUAACACAUGCAAGUCGAACGGUAAGGCCCUUCGGGGUACACGAGUGGCGAACGGGUGAGUAACACGUGGGUGAUCUGCCCUGCACUUCGGGAUAAGCCUGGGAAACUGGGUCUAAUACCGGAUAGGACUCCGGACUGCAUGGUCUGGGGUGGAAAGCUUUUGCGGUGUGGGAUGGGCCCGCGGCCUAUCAGCUUGUUGGUGGGGUGAUGGCCUACCAAGGCGACGACGGGUAGCCGGCCUGAGAAGGUGACCGGCCACACGGGGACGGAGAUACGGCCCAGACUCCUACGGGAGGCAGCAGUGGGGAAUAUUGCACAAUGGGCGCAAGCCUGAUGCAGCGACGCCGCGUGAGGGAUGGCGGCCUUCGGGUUGUAAACCUCUUUCAGCAUCGACGAAGCGAAAGUGACGGUAGGUGCAGAAGAAGGACCGGCCAACUACGUGCCAGCAGCCGCCGUAA